AAGAUGACCUUGAACUCCUGCCCCUUCUGCCUUUACCUCACAGGUGCUGUGGUUUCAGUUGUUUAUAAUCUCCAUGGGCCUCAUCACUCUGGAGAAGACCUAAUUUCUCCAGACUCCAUUCCAGUUGUGCCUGACAUCUGGAUUCCAGUGUAGCAGUAGAGAUAAAACAGUCUGCAGGAGUUCCUGGCCUUUGAGGGUCCCAGCUCCACUAGAGAACGGGUUGUGUACUUGGAUUAUCCUUGGCUGUGGAAGAAGGAGGAAGGCUCUGUGGAGCAAGAAGAAGAUGGAUGUGUUCUCGGUCAGUUUCACUGUUAUGCAGCCAGGCUUUGAAGAAGACCUCCAUGCUGACGACAUUGUUGUCAAGAGUCUGAAGGACAAUGUCAGCUUCCAGGAGAGCACUCUCUGCAGAAGGAGAAAGGAGAAUGGUGGUUAAGGGGGUCUCUUUGUUUGUGUGUGUG
Long non-coding RNA from Chionomys nivalis (European snow vole), 458 nucleotides. RefSeq lists it as uncharacterized. Lineage: Eukaryota; Metazoa; Chordata; Mammalia; Rodentia; Cricetidae. The transcript has 3 exons. The record is from RefSeq and is a predicted model, not a curated record.